RNAcentral lists this transfer RNA (90 nucleotides) under Vulcanimicrobiota bacterium. Its description in RNAcentral is "tRNA-Ser". It matches the Rfam family "tRNA". Rfam says of the family: Transfer RNA (tRNA) molecules are approximately 80 nucleotides in length. Their secondary structure includes four short double-helical elements and three loops (D, anti-codon, and T loops). Lineage: Bacteria; Bacillati; Vulcanimicrobiota. The record is from RNAcentral.
GGAGAGUUGGCCGAGCGGUUGAAGGCGGUGGUCUUGAAAACCACUUUGGGGGUAACCUCAACGGGGGUUCGAAUCCCUCACUCUCCGCCA